GAUGAACGCUGGCGGCGUGCUUAACACAUGCAAGUCGAACGGGAAACCUUUUAUUGAAGCUUCGGUAGAUUUAGAUUGUUUCUAGUGGCGGACGGGUGAGUAACGCGUGGGUAACCUGCCUUAUACAGGGGGAUAACAGUCAGAAAUGACUGCUAAUACCGCAUAAGCGCACAGAGCUGCAUGGCUCGGUGUGAAAAACUCCGGUGGUAUAAGAUGGACCCGCGUUGGAUUAGCUAGUUGGUGAGGUAACGGCCCACCAAGGCGACGAUCCAUAGCCGGCCUGAGAGGGUGAACGGCCACAUUGGGACUGAGACACGGCCCAGACUCCUACGGGAGGCAGCAGUGGGGGAUAUUGCACAAUGGGGGAAACCCUGAUGCAGCGACGCCGCGUGAAGGAAGAAGUAUCUCGGUAUGUAAACUUCUAUCAGCAGGGAAGAAAAUGACGGUAC
This 449-nucleotide ribosomal RNA is filed under the name uncultured bacterium. RNAcentral describes it as "bacterial SSU rRNA". It matches the Rfam family "Bacterial small subunit ribosomal RNA", at positions 28 to 478 of the family's 1533-position model. The record is from RNAcentral.